This 119-nucleotide ribosomal RNA is filed under the name Triticum dicoccoides. Lineage: Eukaryota; Viridiplantae; Streptophyta; Magnoliopsida; Poales; Poaceae. The record is from RNAcentral. RNAcentral also lists the same sequence under 1 other name.
UGAUGCGAUCAUACCAGCACUAAAGCACCGGAUCCCAUCAGAACUCCGAAGUUAAGCGUGCUUGGGCGAGAGUAGUACUAGGAUGGGUGACCUCUUGGGAAGUCCUCGUGUUGCAUUCC